UCAACAGCCACGCUGAUGUGUCUGGCCAAUAAGGGCUUCCCCUCAGACUGGACCAUGAGCUGGAAAGUGGACGGGACCAGCAAGAAGCAGGAGGCCAGUCCCGGGGUCCAGGAGAAGGACGGCCUGUACAGCUGGAGCAGCACACUGACUCUCACUGCCCAGGAGUGGACCAAGGCAGGAGAGGUGACCUGUGAAGCCCAGCAGAAAUCCCAGACUCCAGUCACCAAGACCCUGAGGAGGGCUGACUGUCCUGGGUAGGACCCCUCAGUCACA
Non-coding RNA from Coregonus clupeaformis (lake whitefish), 273 nucleotides. The record is from the annotation of a RefSeq genome assembly. Lineage: Eukaryota; Metazoa; Chordata; Actinopteri; Salmoniformes; Salmonidae.